Molecule: ribosomal RNA, 2902 nt
Filed under: Escherichia coli HVH 95 (4-6074464)
Lineage: Bacteria; Pseudomonadati; Pseudomonadota; Gammaproteobacteria; Enterobacterales; Enterobacteriaceae
Description: bacterial LSU rRNA
Rfam family: Bacterial large subunit ribosomal RNA
Source: RNAcentral
UUAAGCGACUAAGCGUACACGGUGGAUGCCCUGGCAGUCAGAGGCGAUGAAGGACGUGCUAAUCUGCGAUAAGCGUCGGUGAGGUGAUAUGAACCGUUAUAACCGGCGAUUUCCGAAUGGGGAAACCCAGUGUGUUUCGACACACUAUCAUUAACUGAAUCCAUAGGUUAAUGAGGCGAACCGGGGGAACUGAAACAUCUAAGUACCCCGAGGAAAAGAAAUCAACCGAGAUUCCCCCAGUAGCGGCGAGCGAACGGGGAGGAGCCCAGAGCCUGAAUCAGUGUGUGUGUUAGUGGAAGCGUCUGGAAAGGCGUGCGAUACAGGGUGACAGCCUCGUACACAAAAAUGCACAUAUUGUGAGCUCGAUGAGUAGGGCGGGACACGUGGUAUCCUGUCUGAAUAUGGGGGGACCAUCCUCCAAGGCUAAAUACUCCUGACUGACCGAUAGUGAACCAGUACCGUGAGGGAAAGGCGAAAAGAACCCCGGCGAGGGGAGUGAAAAAGAACCUGAAACCGUGUACGUACAAGCAGUGGGAGCCUCUUAAUGGGGUGACUGCGUACCUUUUGUAUAAUGGGUCAGCGACUUAUAUUCUGUAGCAAGGUUAACCGAAUAGGGGAGCCGAAGGGAAACCGAGUCUUAACUGGGCGUUAAGUUGCAGGGUAUAGACCCGAAACCCGGUGAUCUAGCCAUGGGCAGGUUGAAGGUUGGGUAACACUAACUGGAGGACCGAACCGACUAAUGUUGAAAAAUUAGCGGAUGACUUGUGGCUGGGGGUGAAAGGCCAAUCAAACCGGGAGAUAGCUGGUUCUCCCCGAAAGCUAUUUAGGUAGCGCCUCGUGAAUUCAUCUCCGGGGGUAGAGCACUGUUUCGGCAAGGGGGUCAUCCCGACUUACCAACCCGAUGCAAACUGCGAAUACCGGAGAAUGUUAUCACGGGAGACACACGGCGGGUGCUAACGUCCGUCGUGAAGAGGGAAACAACCCAGACCGCCAGCUAAGGUCCCAAAGUCAUGGUUAAGUGGGAAACGAUGUGGGAAGGCCCAGACAGCCAGGAUGUUGGCUUAGAAGCAGCCAUCAUUUAAAGAAAGCGUAAUAGCUCACUGGUCGAGUCGGCCUGCGCGGAAGAUGUAACGGGGCUAAACCAUGCACCGAAGCUGCGGCAGCGACACUAUGUGUUGUUGGGUAGGGGAGCGUUCUGUAAGCCUGUGAAGGUGGCCUGUGAGGGUUGCUGGAGGUAUCAGAAGUGCGAAUGCUGACAUAAGUAACGAUAAAGCGGGUGAAAAGCCCGCUCGCCGGAAGACCAAGGGUUCCUGUCCAACGUUAAUCGGGGCAGGGUGAGUCGACCCCUAAGGCGAGGCCGAAAGGCGUAGUCGAUGGGAAACAGGUUAAUAUUCCUGUACUUGGUGUUACUGCGAAGGGGGGACGGAGAAGGCUAUGUUGGCCGGGCGACGGUUGUCCCGGUUUAAGCGUGUAGGCUGGUUUUCCAGGCAAAUCCGGAAAACCAAGGCUGAGGCGUGAUGACGAGGCACUACGGUGCUGAAGUGACAAAUGCCCUGCUUCCAGGAAAAGCCUCUAAGCAUCAGGUAACAUCAAAUCGUACCCCAAACCGACACAGGUGGUCAGGUAGAGAAUACCAAGGCGCUUGAGAGAACUCGGGUGAAGGAACUAGGCAAAAUGGUGCCGUAACUUCGGGAGAAGGCACGCUGAUAUGUAGGUGAAGCGACUUGCUCGUGGAGCUGAAAUCAGUCGAAGAUACCAGCUGGCUGCAACUGUUUAUUAAAAACACAGCACUGUGCAAACACGAAAGUGGACGUAUACGGUGUGACGCCUGCCCGGUGCCGGAAGGUUAAUUGAUGGGGUUAGCGGUAACGCGAAGCUCUUGAUCGAAGCCCCGGUAAACGGCGGCCGUAACUAUAACGGUCCUAAGGUAGCGAAAUUCCUUGUCGGGUAAGUUCCGACCUGCACGAAUGGCGUAAUGAUGGCCAGGCUGUCUCCACCCGAGACUCAGUGAAAUUGAACUCGCUGUGAAGAUGCAGUGUACCCGCAGCAAGACGGAAAGACCCCGUGAACCUUUACUAUAGCUUGACACUGAACAUUGAGCCUUGAUGUGUAGGAUAGGUGGGAGGCUUUGAAGUGUGGACGCCAGUCUGCAUGGAGCCGACCUUGAAAUACCACCCUUUAAUGUUUGAUGUUCUAACGUUGGCCCGUAAUCCGGGUUGCGGACAGUGUCUGGUGGGUAGUUUGACUGGGGCGGUCUCCUCCUAAAGAGUAACGGAGGAGCACGAAGGUUGGCUAAUCCUGGUCGGACAUCAGGAGGUUAGUGCAAUGGCAUAAGCCAGCUUGACUGCGAGCGUGACGGCGCGAGCAGGUGCGAAAGCAGGUCAUAGUGAUCCGGUGGUUCUGAAUGGAAGGGCCAUCGCUCAACGGAUAAAAGGUACUCCGGGGAUAACAGGCUGAUACCGCCCAAGAGUUCAUAUCGACGGCGGUGUUUGGCACCUCGAUGUCGGCUCAUCACAUCCUGGGGCUGAAGUAGGUCCCAAGGGUAUGGCUGUUCGCCAUUUAAAGUGGUACGCGAGCUGGGUUUAGAACGUCGUGAGACAGUUCGGUCCCUAUCUGCCGUGGGCGCUGGAGAACUGAGGGGGGCUGCUCCUAGUACGAGAGGACCGGAGUGGACGCAUCACUGGUGUUCGGGUUGUCAUGCCAAUGGCACUGCCCGGUAGCUAAAUGCGGAAGAGAUAAGUGCUGAAAGCAUCUAAGCACGAAACUUGCCCCGAGAUGAGUUCUCCCUGACUCCUUGAGAGUCCUGAAGGAACGUUGAAGACGACGACGUUGAUAGGCCGGGUGUGUAAGCGCAGCGAUGCGUUGAGCUAACCGGUACUAAUGAACCGUGAGGCUUAACCUU